UACGUAGGGUGCAAGCGUUAUUCGGAAUUACUGGGCGUAAAGCGUGCGCAGGCGGCUUUGCAAGUCAGCUGUGAAAUCCCCGGGCUUAACCUGGGAACUGCAUUUGUGACUGCAUGGCUGGAGUGCGGCAGAGGGGGAUGGAAUUCCGCGUGUAGCAGUGAAAUGCGCAGAUAUCUGGAGGAACACCGGUGGCGAAGGCGGCAUCCUGGACCGAUACUGACGCUGAGGAGCGAAAGCCAGGGGAGCAAACGGG
RNAcentral lists this ribosomal RNA (253 nucleotides) under uncultured bacterium. RNAcentral's name for it is "partial 16S ribosomal RNA". It matches the Rfam family "Bacterial small subunit ribosomal RNA", at positions 524 to 776 of the family's 1533-position model. The record is from RNAcentral.